RNAcentral lists this ribosomal RNA (398 nucleotides) under uncultured bacterium. Its description in RNAcentral is "bacterial SSU rRNA". It matches the Rfam family "Bacterial small subunit ribosomal RNA", at positions 30 to 429 of the family's 1533-position model. The record is from RNAcentral.
AUUGAACGCUGGCGGCAUGCCUUACACAUGCAAGUCGAACGGCAGCACGGGAGCAAUCCUGGUGGCGAGUGGCGAACGGGUGAGUAAUAUAUCGGAACGUGCCCAGUCGUGGGGGAUAACGUAGCGAAAGCUACGCUAAUACCGCAUACGAUCUAUGGAUGAAAGCGGGGGAUCGCAAGACCUCGCGCGAUUGGAGCGGCCGAUAUCAGAUUAGGUAGUUGGUGGGGUAAAAGCCUACCAAGCCUUCGAUCUGUAGCUGGUCUGAGAGGACGACCAGCCACACUGGAACUGAGACACGGUCCAGACUCCUACGGGAGGCAGCAGUGGGGAAUUUUGGACAAUGGGCGCAAGCCUGAUCCAGCAAUGCCGCGUGCAGGAUGAAGGCCUUCGGUUGUAAC